AAUAAGAAGUAAUGUUUAUAUUUUUGUUACAAUAUUGUCCGAUUUAAAAUCGUAUAUUUGUAUUUAAUUAUGAAUACAAAUAAUUGGUAUGUUUAUAGAAAUUAUAAUUGGUAUGUUUACAUUUAUAAAAAAAAUAAUGCAUAUUUACGUUUUCUAUUACUAAGAUAAAUAUUUUAUUUCAGAUUUUUAAAAGAUAGUGAGAGAAAAAUUAAAUGGUUUUCUCUGUUAGGAUUUAUUCAUAGCAUAAUAUUAAAAAGUCGAGCAAAAGAGAACUCAAGAACAGCUGAUUUUUUUUAUAAGGAAUUGAAGAAAAUAUUUAAAAACUGAUGAAUUUUCAUAGCCAUUUAUGUCGCGAUUUAUGGUGUUUCAGUUGUUUCAAUAUCACCUAGGAAAUUAACAUUAAGAUAUCAGGAUCCUGCAUAUAACGAGAUAAGAAGUAUGAUCUUGUUAGGAUACCUAUUCCGUCACAAUAUGAAGUGAAGAUAUUCAUGGUGUGGAAGUCGUUACUUUAAUUACAUAGUGCCUAUGAAAUUGGUCCUUUACAUCAGGUUUAAAAUUGACGUAAUGCUACUAUGCAAAAUAGUGAGAGAUGUGAAUCCUAGGCAGAGCUACAGAAUUACUUUUGUUGAGAGACAAAUUAUGAUAGUGAUUGGAAUCGCAUAUUCUAGACUUUUAUUUAAAAAAUUAUUUGUUGGGAAUGAACUUUUAUAGUGUGGAGGAAUACCUGCAAAUUAUAAUAUGAGGCCUACGUAUAUGAUAAUUUUAUUAUUAUCUGUUGUGUUUGUUUAUGUGUAUUUUGUAUUAUAUAUUUGUGUUAGCGUUAAGAAUUUAUUGACUAUUCCUAUACAAUUGUACAUUGUUUUAUGGAAAUAAAUAAAUGAUUGAUUGAUUGAAUAAGUUAGGAAACCAUACGAUCGA
Sitophilus oryzae (rice weevil) is the source of this 918-nucleotide long non-coding RNA. RefSeq lists it as uncharacterized. The transcript is spliced from 2 exons. Lineage: Eukaryota; Metazoa; Arthropoda; Insecta; Coleoptera; Curculionidae. The record is from RefSeq and is a predicted model, not a curated record.